Molecule: RNA transcript, 1346 nt
Organism: Abrus precatorius (Indian licorice)
Lineage: Eukaryota; Viridiplantae; Streptophyta; Magnoliopsida; Fabales; Fabaceae
Exons: 8
Source: RefSeq, a predicted model, not a curated record
UUUUGCAGUUGCGUUGAAGGAAGCGCACUUCCGUUAGAGAGUUGUGAGUGACAGUGGCAUUUUCCCAAUUCCUAACUAAUCUGUAAUAAACUUAAUUUCCUUCCUCAAACACUCCAGAGAUUAAUGGCAAAAGCAAUCCUUUUAAGUAACAGAUGGUACGGACAUGAACAACACUGGGCCACACUUUCAUCCUUUACCAUGCAAAAAUUUAGUCAUGGGAAGAAAAUUGACAUCAAGGUGAACGGACUAAGAAUAACUUGCUUGAAUUCCAACGAAAAGAAAGCCAAUUUGUUUGCUGCAAAGAAGGAGAGAAUUAAGCUGCCAACAUAUAGGAAUGGUCUUGGAGGCAAGAAAUAUCACAUCAGUGAAUUUUUGAGCCACCCUAGUGGAAUUGCAGCAGUGUUGAACACAAAGGCGUUGCAAUCAUUUCAAUCUAUUGAUGCGAACACAUACAGGUGUGAACUGCCUAAACUUCAAUUUUUAAACUUUGAAGCUGCCCCAUUGUUGGAUCUGCGGGUUAUCUCAACAGAUAAAGAUUGCUUGGUUGAGAUGCUUUCUUGUCAGUUUGAGGGCUCAGAAGUUGUGAAAGAGCAAAACAAUCACUUUUCAGCAUUCAUGAUAAACCACAUGACAUGGGGUGGUGCUGGUGCUGAAUCAUUUUUAGAAGUUAAUGUUAAGUUGAAUCUCACACUUGAGGACCAUGAUGGCAUGAACUGCCUUACUUGGGUCACCUUCACGUAAAUUACAUUGCAGUGAAAGUGCAAUUUUCCAGUUCGUUUCUUUUCUAAGAAACUGAUGAGUUAAGUUGACCUAUUCCUUCUUAAUCCUUACUAAUUCAUAUCCUGUAGCCGUAUGUUCAUAUGUUAAAAGGUUAGUGGUUUUGAAUCAAGAUUACUAGCUAUUAGCCUAUUACUAUAUUAACUGUAUUUCAGUAUGAUAUUGCUGAAUUUUGCAUUUUCCUUACAUGUUUAAAAAAAAUAUCACUUUCUGCAGAUUUACACACAUCCAUUUACGAUGAUGCCUAUUUCAGCUGUUGAGGGUCCUGGAAACAUAAUGAUGCAAGCUUUGGUAGACAAACUCGUGCCACUGCUACUUCAGCAGAUGCUACAAGAUUAUGAUGAAUGGGUUCAAAUGCAAUCAGACUCCCUAAAUCAGGAUUCUCGGUACGGAAAAGUUACUUCAAAAUUUUUGGGUUGAGACAACAGAAAGGGAGGGAAGACAAUUGAUGUUUAGGGAAAUGGAUAGAUAGAAAAAUGAACGGUGAGAAUUUGAUUUCUACGAGAUGCAUGUUAAAAACAUCCAUGUAAACAUUACUGUUUUAGUUAAUAUCAAUUGACAUUCACUUU